AUGCCAUGGUGAGGGCAUUUUCUUAACAGCUUUUUGAACCUCUCCUAUGCAUUAAGAAGAGCUUCAUCGUCCAAUUGUUUAAAAGAACAUAUUUCAUUUAUGGACUU
Small nucleolar RNA from Cynara cardunculus var. scolymus (artichoke), 107 nucleotides. The record is from RefSeq and is a predicted model, not a curated record. Lineage: Eukaryota; Viridiplantae; Streptophyta; Magnoliopsida; Asterales; Asteraceae.